UACGAAGGGGGCGAGCGUUGUUCGGAUUUACUGGGCGUAAAGGGCGCGCAGGCGGUUCUGUUUGUCGAGUGUGAAAGCCCCGGGCUCAACCUGGGAACUGCGCUCGAAACGGCGGAACUAGAGUUCGGGAGAGGAGAGUGGAAUUCCCAGUGUAGAGGUGAAAUUCGUAGAUAUUGGGAAGAACUCCGGUGGCGAAGGCGGCUCUCUGGACCGAUACUGACGCUGAGGCGCGAAAGCGUGGGGAGCGAACAGG
This 253-nucleotide ribosomal RNA is filed under the name uncultured bacterium. RNAcentral's name for it is "partial 16S ribosomal RNA". It matches the Rfam family "Bacterial small subunit ribosomal RNA", at positions 524 to 776 of the family's 1533-position model. The record is from RNAcentral.